AUGAACGCUGGCGGCGUGCCUAAUACAUGCAAGUCGAACGAGUUCUGAUUAUUGAAAGGUGCUUGCAUCUUGAUUUAAUUUUGAACGAGUGGCGGACGGGUGAGUAACACGUGGGUAACCUGCCCUUAAGUGGGGGAUAACAUUUGGAAACAGAUGCUAAUACCGCAUAAAUCCAAGAGCCGCAUGGUUCUUGGCUGAAAGAUGGCGUAAGCUAUCGCUUUUGGAUGGACCCGCGGCGUAUUAGCUAGUUGGUGAGGUAACGGCUCACCAAGGCAAUGAUACGUAGCCGAACUGAGAGGUUGAUCGGCCACAUUGGGACUGAGACACGGCCCAAACUCCUACGGGAGGCAGCAGUAGGGAAUCUUCCACAAUGGACGCAAGUCUGAUGGAGCAACGCCGCGUGAGUGAAGAAGGCUUUCGGGUCGUAAAACUCUGUUGUUGGAGAAGAAUGGUCGGCAGAGUAACUGUUGUCGGCGUGACGGUAUCCAACCAGAAAGCCACGGCUAACUACGUGCCAGCAGCCGCGGUAAUACGUAGGUGGCAAGCGUUAUCCGGAUUUAUUGGGCGUAAAGCGAGCGCAGGCGGUUUUUUAAGUCUGAUGUGAAAGCCCUCGGCUUAACCGAGGAAGUGCAUCGGAAACUGGGAAACUUGAGUGCAGAAGAGGACAGUGGAACUCCAUGUGUAGCGGUGAAAUGCGUAGAUAUAUGGAAGAACACCAGUGGCGAAGGCGGCUGUCUGGUCUGUAACUGACGCUGAGGCUCGAAAGCAUGGGUAGCGAACAGGAUUAGAUACCCUGGUAGUCCAUGCCGUAAACGAUGAAUGCUAGGUGUUGGAGGGUUUCCGCCCUUCAGUGCCGCAGCUAACGCAUUAAGCAUUCCGCCUGGGGAGUACGACCGCAAGGUUGAAACUCAAAGGAAUUGACGGGGGCCCGCACAAGCGGUGGAGCAUGUGGUUUAAUUCGAAGCAACGCGAAGAACCUUACCAGGUCUUGACAUCUUUUGAUCACCUGAGAGAUCAGGUUUCCCCUUCGGGGGCAAAAUGACAGGUGGUGCAUGGUUGUCGUCAGCUCGUGUCGUGAGAUGUUGGGUUAAGUCCCGCAACGAGCGCAACCCUUAUGACUAGUUGCCAGCAUUUAGUUGGGCACUCUAGUAAGACUGCCGGUGACAAACCGGAGGAAGGUGGGGAUGACGUCAAAUCAUCAUGCCCCUUAUGACCUGGGCUACACACGUGCUACAAUGGAUGGUACAACGAGUUGCGAGACCGCGAGGUCAAGCUAAUCUCUUAAAGCCAUUCUCAGUUCGGACUGUAGGCUGCAACUCGCCUACACGAAGUCGGAAUCGCUAGUAAUCGCGGAUCAGCACGCCGCGGUGAAUACGUUCCCGGGCCUUGUACACACCGCCCGUCACACCAUGAGAGUUUGUAACACCCGAAGCCGGUGGCGUAACCCUUUUAGGGAGCGAGCCGUCUAAGGUGGGACAAAUGAUUAGGGUG
This 1491-nucleotide ribosomal RNA is filed under the name uncultured organism. Its description in RNAcentral is "SSU rRNA". It matches the Rfam family "Bacterial small subunit ribosomal RNA". The record is from RNAcentral.